AUUAACGCUAGCGGCAGGCAUAAUACAUGCAAGUUGAACGGCAGCACAGGUAGCAAUGCUGGGUGGCGAGUGGCGCACGGGUGCGUAACACGUAUGCAACCUACCCUAUACAGGCGAAUAACCUUUAGAAAUGAGGGCUAAUACGCCGUAGUAUUACAGAUGGGCAUCUAUUUGUAAUUAAAGAUUUAUCGGUAUAGGAUGGGCAUGCGUCCCAUUAGUUAGUUGGUAAGGUAACGGCUUACCAAGACGAUGAUGGGUAGGG
This 262-nucleotide ribosomal RNA is filed under the name uncultured bacterium. RNAcentral's name for it is "partial 16S ribosomal RNA". It matches the Rfam family "Bacterial small subunit ribosomal RNA", at positions 29 to 288 of the family's 1533-position model. The record is from RNAcentral.